GGCAACAGUUUCCAUGCAGACCUGGCACCUUCAGCUGUAGGUGGGAGGUGGGGCAGGUAGAGAGAGUGAAGACGGGGAGGGGCUGAAGAGUUUCUUUAAAGCCCGAAAAUGCAGGUGUGUGAGCCUGGACUAGGCGGUCCAGGAGGAGAAGCCCCAGGCACAGCCUUGGUGUUCAGAAGACAUUUUCAUUGAAUUUAAAGCUCCUGGACCAGUUCCUGGAAUCCAAGGAGGGUGGACAGGAGGGAAGAAAAGACGUCCAUUCUCCAAACUGAUGAAAAAGGCUCCUGAGAAGAUUUCUGGGAAAAGCCCCUGGGCCUCAGUUUUCUGGAUCAGAGGAUCUUUCAGGAGCCUCAGCAAAGCAAAACACCAAAAUCAACUGCUCAAAGGGUCAGCAAGCCAGCUAUGUGAGUGAAGCAGGACUGGUGUGUGGCAAUAGGGAAUGGUGGGCACUGUGGUAAAAUGAACACUGCAAGCUCGGUGUGUCAGCUUCAGGGAGUGUGUGCAGACAGGGCAGCCAGAUAAUCCCAUCUUUAAUACAACCAAAUGUGUG
This 550-nucleotide long non-coding RNA is filed under the name Capra hircus (goat). Its description in RNAcentral is "lncRNA (ENSCHIG00000005097.1)". The record is from RNAcentral. Lineage: Eukaryota; Metazoa; Chordata; Mammalia; Artiodactyla; Bovidae.